GAUGAACGCUGGCGGCGUGCCUAAUACAUGCAAGUCGAGCGAACAGACGAGGAGCUUGCUCCUCUGACGUUAGCGGCGUACGGGUGAGUAACACGUGGAUCACCUACCUAUAAGACUGGGAUAACUUCGGGAAACCGGCGCUAAUACCGGAUAAUAUAUUGAACCGCAUGGUUCAAUAGUGAAAGACGGUUUUGCUGUCACUUAUCGAUGGAUCCGCGCCGCAUUAGCUAGUUGGUAAGGUAACGGCUUACCAAGGCAACGAUGCGUAGCCGACCGGAGAGGGGGGUCGCCCACCUUGGAACGGGAACACGGACCAGACUCCUACGGGAGGCAGCAGUCGGCAAUGUGCCGCAAUGGUCGAAAGCCUUACGGAGCAAGGCCGCGUGAGUGAUGAAGGUCUUCGGUGAGUAAUACCCUGUUAUGAGGGAAGAACAAAUGUGUAAGUAAAUAUGCACGUAUUGACGGUACCUACACAGAAAGCCACGGCUAACUACGUG
Molecule: ribosomal RNA, 497 nt
Filed under: uncultured bacterium
Lineage: Bacteria
Description: partial 16S ribosomal RNA
Rfam family: Bacterial small subunit ribosomal RNA
Source: RNAcentral